This 503-nucleotide ribosomal RNA is filed under the name uncultured Oscillibacter sp. Its description in RNAcentral is "partial 16S ribosomal RNA". Lineage: Bacteria; Bacillati; Bacillota; Clostridia; Eubacteriales; Oscillospiraceae. The record is from RNAcentral.
CACGUAGUUAGCCGUGGCUUAUUCAAGGGGUACCGUCUUCCGCUCUUCCCCCUUAAAAGAAGUUUACAACUCGAAAGCCUUCUUCCUUCACGCGGCGUUGCUGGGUCAGACUUGCGUCCAUUGCCCAAUAUUCCCCACUGCUGCCUCCCGUAGGAGUCUGGGCCGUAUCUCAGUCCCAAUGUGGCCGGCCAACCUCUCAGUCCGGCUACUGAUCGUCGCCUUGGUGGGCCGUUACCUCACCAACUAGCUAAUCAGACGCGAGGCCAUCUUCCAGCGAUAAAUCUUUGACGUCGGAGUCAUGCGGCUCCAACGCAUCAUGCGGUAUUAGCAGUCGUUUCCAACUGUGUCCCCCUCUGGAAGGCAGGUUCCUCACGCGUUACUCACCAGUCCGCCACUAAGCAUUCCCAUCCGUUGUCCGAAAACUCUUCAGGGUGCUCCGUUCGACUUGCAUGUGUUAAGCACGCCGCCAGCGUUCGUUCCUGCGCCGACGAGUCAAACCUACU